AGAAUCAACGCUGGCGGCGUGCCUAACACAUGCAAGUCGAACGAGAAAGUGGUAGCAAUACCAUGAGUAAAGUGGCGCACGGGUGAGUAACACGUGACUAACCUACCCUUGAGUGGGGGAUAACUGAGGGAAACCUUAGCUAAUACCGCAUAAUACCCACGGGUCAAAGGAGCAAUUCGCUCGAGGAGGGGGUCGCGGCCGAUUAGUUAGUUGGCAGGGCAAUGGCCUACCAAGACGAUGAUCGGUA
RNAcentral lists this ribosomal RNA (247 nucleotides) under uncultured bacterium. RNAcentral's name for it is "partial small subunit ribosomal RNA". It matches the Rfam family "Bacterial small subunit ribosomal RNA", at positions 26 to 285 of the family's 1533-position model. The record is from RNAcentral.